UUUUUUCCCUUCUUGUCAAAGGUUGUCUCUGUGUCCAUUGUACAUCACAACCUUGUUAUAAAGAAUAGAAUAUAAUAUAUCCUGUUUAGCUGACUUACGAGUCAUGUGUGUGCGUACAUUUGACAUAAGAGUCGUCACGGGAACCUGGCGUUGCAAGCGUCAUGCUUUAUCAACUGAGCUACAGCUGACCACUCUUUUAGUCUUUGUUACUUAAUGGUCUGUUAGUUUUUUUUUUUAUCAACUUCUUUGUUGCCCUAGAGUGGACUUUAGCUUUUCGAACACCCCACCCUUCUUAUGACAUUAUUGUGGCACCUGUCAAUCACAUGAUGGCAACCACGCCCUGUCCAGCUCUGAGCUGUCGCUGCAUAUGGCCAAGUCAUGGUGUUGUCAUUUUGGAGGCCUUAGCUAAGAUAAAAAUUCAUAUGAAAAGCCCAUUGGAAUCCUAUAUCUAGGCAUGAAACUGGUUUGUCAAGAGUGGGGCCACUUGGGGAUUAUAUAUACCUUAACAAGCCACAAUACAUCUGUACUGAGCACACACGUAAGCUGAUAAGAAGCCAUAAACAUGUCCACAGUUUCUCCAACAUGUCUUAACAGCUCAGACAAACUCCAAAGCUGUUAAACAUUAGAAGAUAGGACCAUUGCUUUGUCAGUGUCAUCAUUGUUAACUUUGACAUAAAGGCUGUUGCGUAACAAACACAUGAGUCAGAAUGUACCAUAUUGUUCAGGUACAGUACUGCAGGUAGCUCACUAGUAAACAAACAGCUGGAAGGAUAACAGUGACGGGGCCUGCAGAAGACUUUCCUUUUACCUGAUAUCCGCCUAACAACAAUCCACUUCUCAUCUCUCUGGAUCACACGGCUUUAGCAGGUUCAGAGUCUACCGGAAUAUACCAACUCCCUGUGUUUUGAGUGAAAGCCUUUGUUUGGAAAUAGCCGCUCAUUGUAGAGUCACCGUACCUACACUGGUAGGCUGGUCGCAGUCAUAUUGGAGCUGUGUAGUUAAUUGUUUACAGAGAAGCCUUCAGGCCUGGAACACAGCAGGAUGAGGAGACUGAACCGGGUUAGUGCCUCUGGCCGUUACAACCCUGCCAUGGAGAUGGAGAUGACUGAUGGAGUCAACCAGUCCGAACAGCAGCCAGUUGUUGGGACUGCGAUCUCAAAGACGUCUGUGUCCAGUGCUGCGAAGGCAGCUGCCCAGUGGGCGUCUUACACCUGCAGCCGCUGGAAACGAGCCUGCCGUCAGUGUGUGAAGAGAAAACCCACAGGGGAAUUCUUUGAGACCAUGUACAAAGGCCUGGCCUUGGAUGAAGAUGUCAUAGAUGGAGGAGACAAAAGCUCCCACCUCAAUAAAAGACUGCUAGACCAUUUCAGAGAUCUGGCUUCCAGCAAUCAGGACACUGAUGAGGUGGACCUUCAGUACCUGAGUGAUGUAAUCGCAGAUGGAGCCGACCCCAACUCAACGGACCGAUACGGACAAACUGUCUUGCAUGAGAUCUCGAGGGCCUGGAACGUGGACGUGAUGCGUUUCUUCCUGGACAGGGGGGCUGAUGUUCUGCGUCCUGACUCCUACGGGGUCACGCCCCUGCAUGUUGCCGCAGCUCUGGACUACGAGGAGAUGAUCCACUUCUUGUUGGAGAGAAAAGCCGACAUUGGUGCUCAGACCAACAUGGAUCAUCAGACACCUCUGCACUACGCUGCUAAGAACGACGCGGUGGGGGCAGUCAGGGUGCUGCUGCAGUAUGGGGCAGACAUCUCCGCACGAGACUACAAAAGGAGAACCCCUCUACAACUGGCUGCCAACCUAGACAGGAGUGAGGCUGCACGGACACUAAUGGAACUAGGGGCUGAUGCUGGGGUAAAGGACUCUGAUGGUCAGCUUUGCAUCACCGCCAUGAUUGACAAGAUGACCUCCGUGGCUCAUUUGGCUCUGAACCAGUUCCAUGUGACUGACCGGAUGACCAGGCAGCAGUUCUACUACCUUCACCUGCUGGAGCCAGAGCCACCCUGCAAGCAGAAUCCACCAGGACAGGGCUCACAAGAGGGUGUUGCCAGUGAGCCUACAUCACCAUUGGAGUUCAUAGUACACCAGGGGAAGUUGGAUCUCAUCAUGCACCCUGUGGUUCUGAAGCUCAUCAAUGUCAAGUGGAAACUAUAUGGCAGGUUGGGGGCUUGGAUACUUCUACUCCUUAACUUCCUGUUUAUAGUCUCCUGGACGACCGUGGCCAUCUCUGUGUCUGUCAUCCGAACCGAGGAGCCUUAUGUUUUCCCUGAGGACUGGUGGCGUGUGUUUGGGGUGGUGGUGGCUCUGGGGCUGACAGUGGUGGAGGUGGGCCGGGAAGUGGCAGAGAUGAUAGGCUCCAGCAGGAAGCUAAGGAGCUGGCAGAGUUGGUGUGAACAUCGCACCAACGAUGACCUGCGCUGCACACACCCAAUGUGGCCCGAGGAAAAACAUUUCUUGGAAGAGCAAAUCAAGUUGAUCCACCGCAUGAAGGGAAACUACUUACAAGACCCCUGGAACAUCUUUGAUUGGCUGGUGUACAUUCUGCUGAUGGCAGUGUUCGGGAUCCAUGUGGCAGACAUCUUCUUGCUUGGAGGAACACUGCGGGACUACAGCCUGCGCCUCUUCGCUGUGGUCAUCAUCUUCCUCUGGCUCCGUCUGAUGAAACACGUCCGAGCCUUCAGGGUUAUGGGUCCUUUCAUUGUCAUGCUGGGGAAGAUUGUGGGGGAUGUGCUACGUUUCCUCUUCCUAUAUGCAGAGAUCUUUAUCCCUUACGCGUGUGCCUUCUGGAUUAUAUUUGGAGGUCAGGCGUCAAUACCCAGUAUGCGGACUGUACCCCAGCUGCUCUACAGCCUGUACCGCAUCACUCUGGUGGACGAGUAUGAGUUCAACGCCAUGGUGGAAGUGGACUCGAUCAUGGCCCACUUCCUCUGUGGUACCUUUCUGGCUCUGUCCUCCAUUCUGUGUGUCAACCUGAUGAUUGCCCUUCUCUCGGACACCUUCCAAAGGGUGUAUGACAAUGCACUGGCCAAUGCAGUAAUGCAGCAAGCAGCCAUUAUCCUGCAGGUGGAGGAAUCCAUGCCCCGUCUCUGUCGUUUCUAUGACGACCAGCACAUCCACCGCUUCUGUGCCCCUCUUGGGGAGUUAUACGAUGAUGACAUCAGAACUGACUCAAAGCGGCACGCAGAACUGAAGACGAUCACCACUCAGAUCAAGGAGACCCUAGAUGAGUUCCUGGAGAUCCAAAAAGAAGUGAAUCCCUCCGAACAAGGACGACCUGAUGAGAGUGACAGGGGCUCAGGGGAGAGGUACUUCUCAUCCCCUGUACAGGGGGAACACCUGCAGAGUCUGCAGAGGCUCCAGAUAGACCAGACCCAGCAGAGCCAGGAUCUCAGUGCCCUGAGGGCAGACAUGAAGAACCUGCAGGCGCUGAUCCACCAACUGAUCCAAUCCCAGACCAGCUCGUGUCAGUAUUAUGUUGACCUCGUAAAGAACCUUCUAUACAGGGUCUAUACACUAAAGACAGACCCGAUAACUAGUCUAGUGCAGUCUGACUGGCUUUGACUAAACAAAGAGUAAAGUCCAUUCAAAACCAGAGGGAGUGCAUAUCUUGGAUUAAGAGUCUUUACACAUGAUAAAGUAAUUUGAACUGACGUCAUGACUCUAUCAUUCAAAUAAGAGAAGCUCUACCAUAUAAAUAGAAUCCAUGGACUUCACUCUUUCUUUAGUCUUUGACCCAGUCAGACUGCACUUCACUAGUUCUAUUUCUUUGAGGCCUACUAUGAUAAACUGUGCCUGUUUCUUCUGUGUAUUUCUGUGCUAGAGUAUAGCUAUAUUUCACUGUCUCCUGUCUGUCCGUAGCUGACAGAUUACUUUAUUUUGUCUCUGUGCAGGUGUGGGCUGUGGUGUGACUGUGACAGCAGAAAGCACUGAGUCAGAGCCCGUCGAAGCGCCACCAUACAGGGCCUCAACAGGGUGACUCCUUGAUGCUGA
This is an RNA transcript of Salvelinus fontinalis (brook trout), 3990 nucleotides long. It is a transcript of the gene named transient receptor potential cation channel subfamily A member 1, with no coding region annotated. The transcript has 20 exons. Lineage: Eukaryota; Metazoa; Chordata; Actinopteri; Salmoniformes; Salmonidae. The record is from RefSeq and is a predicted model, not a curated record.